This 183-nucleotide unclassified non-coding RNA is filed under the name uncultured Halosphaeriaceae. Its description in RNAcentral is "sequence contains ITS2". The record is from RNAcentral. Lineage: Eukaryota; Fungi; Ascomycota; Sordariomycetes; Microascales; Halosphaeriaceae.
CAACCCCUCAGGCCCUGGUGCCUGGCGUCGGGGCUCUUCCUACGUCACCGUAGGAAGCCCUCAGAAACAGUGGCGGACCCGCCGCGGCUCCGAGCGCAGUAGUAACAUUCUCGCUUAGGAGGUCUCGCGGGGGGGUUCCCGGCCGUUAAACUAGUAGCCCUAGCGGGCUGCGACCAUACCCAA